This 87-nucleotide transfer RNA is filed under the name Candidatus Intestinimonas pullistercoris. RNAcentral describes it as "tRNA-Leu". It matches the Rfam family "tRNA". From Rfam's summary of the family: Transfer RNA (tRNA) molecules are approximately 80 nucleotides in length. Their secondary structure includes four short double-helical elements and three loops (D, anti-codon, and T loops). The record is from RNAcentral. Lineage: Bacteria; Bacillati; Bacillota; Clostridia; Eubacteriales.
GCCGGAGUGGCGGAAUUGGUAGACGCCCGGGACUUAAAAUCCUGUGGGAGAGAUCCCGUGCCGGUUCGACUCCGGUCUCCGGCACCA